UGGAGAUCGAACUUAUUCAUAGCAAUAUUGAUGCUGCUCAUUGUUCACGUCAAAAUAUUAGUAGGAUUAAAUUAAUAAUAGUAAAUAUUGCCGAACGUGUAUGUCCUAAAAGUGGCCUAAUGUGUAUGUGUCACGACUCAAAAAUCACUGGUCGUGAUGACAUCUAAUUUGACCCGCAAGACAAGCCAAUUAACUAAUAGAAACAACCAAAUAACUUAUAGAAAAAAAAGAAAGUUAGAAUUUAUUUGAACUUUCACAGAUUUUACCCAGGAACUGGUAGUACAAGUCAUGAACAUCAAGAAUUUAGGAUUUUCAAAGCUAAUACAACUUUUCACACAAUCUGUUCGAAAACUACGUAAACAGAUUAAGAAUGUCUAAAACUACCAAGAACAAGUGGCGGCUUCAACUGUUAUACCCCAUUUUAACACGGGUCAAACCAGAGUAUAACAUAUUGGUAAUUCUGAAGGUUUAAUUAAUUAAGAGAGUCGCCACCUAAUUAUUUUUAAAGGUGAAUUAGGACACCUAGUUACAAAAUAAUGCUUAAAAUCAACUAUGUUUUAUGAUCUGCUUAAUCUUAAGAUUAUGAGUAAGGGUUCUAAUUAAUCCUAUAGGGAAGAUUGUUAAAGCACCCUAUAUGAUCCGUUAAUUACGGUUAACCAGCCAAACUUAGGUUAAUUAGUAAAACAACUAAAUGAUGAGAAUAUACUUAUUAGAAAAGGGUUAAUAGUAAGUCAUUCCAAAGUAGAGAUUUACAAUCGGAGCAAGAAAAUUGUUUUAGACUGUUUCAAACUCAUAAAAGAAAAGUCCAAAACUAUUUGAAAACAAAAUUAAAAACUCAUUAAGUUUCCAAUAAUUAGCUAAGAAAAACAGUUCAACAAAGUGAAAUAAAAUUUAAAGCUUGCUUGGGUCAAAAAACAUCUUCCUAACGAGAAGAGAUUAAUCACUAAACUUGAAACAAAUCUAAGAUUCACAAAAUGUUUAAGGAAAAUUACUUUCGCGUGAGGAAAUACUUUACAAGUUCAAAAUCACAAAUCAUUCCAGCCAAGUGCAUUUAACAUUUAAAAGCAAAGGGAUAUUAAAUUAUUGAACUCCCAAAAAAUCAAACCUAAUGUAGAUAAAUUUAGGAUAACUAUAGACUUCUAGACCUCUACCCCAUAUUCUUCUUGAUAAAACAAACAUCCUUAUUGUUACCUAGUAAUAACUCUAAAUGAUCUAAGACCCAGCUCUUAUAAACAAACAAAUAGUCACAACAAACACACAAGUAAAUAUUAGUCAGUAAGGAUAAACCAAAAUAAGUUAAAAUAAUGUAAUAAAGCUUCUAUCCAAUUGUCAGGAGGAUAAAUCUCCCCAAAUUUCGCUAUUCAAAGGGACGAAUAAAGGUAUGAGGGUUCACUUCGGCAGCGGCGUGGAGUCUAACUUUGAGACUCUUUGGCUCCGGUGUGUGUAACAUGCAAAGAAAAAAAAAUAAAAGAAUAAAAUUAGCAGAGGUCUUAAAUCUUCAACAAGCAUGAAGAAAAUGAAACAAUGAAGCUAGGCAAAGACAAGAUUGCAUUGAGUGUGUGUCCCAAGUAUUAUAGAGACAAGAAACAGAUCUCAAAAACUUCAAAUAGGAUACAUGUUGCAAGAAAAGGAUGUUUUUAUAAAACUUAAGAACGUAAUAUUUACCUAGCAAAUAUACUUGUAAGGAUCUAAGAAUGAUCUUUAACUACCACUCUAAAAAAUACUAUGGGCAUGCUUUUAUAUAUAUAUAUAUAUAUAUAUAUAUAUAUAUAUAUAUAUAUACUANNNNNNNNNNNNNNNNAGUACUUCUUCCAUAUGACAUUUAAAUAAGUAAAUAGUGGUUAAUCCAUAAAAAUUCAUGGCCUACAAACAUGGUUCUUAAAUAGUUGAAAAAAAUUCCAUACGCAAGUUCAUAUGAGAAUUUAGUCAAACACAUGGCAUUCUUAUUCAAACUUUCUAUUGCCACAAUACGCAAUGAACCACAAAUCAUGAUUUUUCAAUAAAAUAAUUCCUCAAGUAUGAUUUAUACAUAGAAAGCAAGUCACAUUCUUAAGCAAGCAUUUAUUCUGGAACUCAAAAUAAAAAUUAAAAAAAAGGGAGAAGGAAAUUUUUAAGGCUACGGACCUGCUUGGGGGCAGUGAACCGGAGCUUCAACCUCGAAUCUACUCUAUAUUGUCACCAACAGAUCCGACUUCUAGCUGAGUUCGAGUAUUCUGUUACGGCUAAAGUACGCUGAGACAGAAGCAAAAGUUCCAAAGAAACUUUUAGAGUUUUUGGGAGAUGAUAUCAACAACGAGAAAAUGAUAGUAUUCGUCAGGGGCACAAUUUGUGUGAAGUAGGCUGCUCCCUCCCAGAACUCUCCCAAAUGCGAGUAUUUAUAGGAGAUGUAGAGGUAGGGAUUGUAUUUUAGGCGGGAUAUUUUUCAGAUUUUGAUUUUGAAAUGGAGUCAAAAAGCCGUUCGAAUCCGAACGUUGGGAAUUUAAUGUUCAUGUGGCUUGGUAUGAGAAAGUCCUCUGAGAUCGAAUCAAAUCCCUGAAAAUCAGUUCUUUCCAUCUCAGAAAAUCAGAAUGCCAAAAGUCUUUUGGCCUCUUUUGUUGGCUAAAUC
This 2605-nucleotide long non-coding RNA is filed under the name Nicotiana tabacum (common tobacco). RNAcentral's name for it is "long non-coding RNA (NTAB_LNC009103)". The record is from RNAcentral. Lineage: Eukaryota; Viridiplantae; Streptophyta; Magnoliopsida; Solanales; Solanaceae.